This 1449-nucleotide ribosomal RNA is filed under the name Streptomyces sp. RNAcentral's name for it is "bacterial SSU rRNA". It matches the Rfam family "Bacterial small subunit ribosomal RNA", at positions 86 to 1442 of the family's 1533-position model. The record is from RNAcentral. Lineage: Bacteria; Bacillati; Actinomycetota; Actinomycetes; Kitasatosporales; Streptomycetaceae.
GGUGGAUUACUGGCGAACGGGUGAGUAACGCGUGGGCAAUCUGCCCUUCACUCUGGGACAAGCCCUGGAAACGGGGUCUAAUACCGGAUAACACUCUGUCCCGCAUGAGUUGGGGUUGAAAGCUCCGGCGGUGAAGGAUGAGCCCGCGGCCUAUCUUCUUGAUGGUGGGGUGAUGGCCUACCAAGGCGACGACGGGUAGCCGGCCUGAGAGGGCGACCGGCCACACUGGGACUGAGACACGGCCCAUAGCUUCCGUACGGCAGGCUCAUGUCCGGGAGAGUAAUUAUCACACAAUGGAAGCGAAAGCCUCGCAUGCAAGCCCGACCCCGAGUGAGGAAUGACGGCCUGUCGGGAUGUAUAACCUCUUGUCAGGCAGGGUAAUGAAAGCGAAAGUUGUACGGUACCUGACGGAACAAGCCGGCCGGCUAACUACCUGGCCACCAACCGUCAGUAAUACGUAGGGACGAAUCAAGCGUUGUCAGGAAUUAGUCCGAACGUAAAGUAGAUCGUAGGCGGCUUGUCUCGUCGGAAGAGAAAUGCCCGCGGAUUAACCCCGGGUCUGCAUUAGAUACGGGCUAGAUCUAAAGUGUGCUAGCGGUAGAUCGGAAUGCCUGGAUCUAACGGAGAAAUGCGCAGAUAUCACGACGAACACCGGUGAGCGAAAGCGAAUCUCCGAGCCAUUACGGACGCAGUAAGGAAAGAAAGCGUAGGCGAGCGAACUCGAUUAGAUAUCCUUGCUACACCACGAAGUAAACGUAAGUAGACUAGCUGUCGGCCAUCAUUCCACGUCCUCAGUGCCGCAGCUCACGCAGUUACUUCCCCAACGUGGGGAGCUACCGUCAAGCAACGCUAAAAUUCAAAGGAAUGGACGCAGGCCCGCACAAGCAACCGAGCAUGUCACUUACAUUCGAAGCAACGCGACGAACACUACCAUAGCUUCGACACAUAAUUCCGGAAACCAUCAGAGAUCGUAGCCACCCAUUGUCGGUCUGGUAGCCAGUAGUAGCUCGCAUGGUCCCUACUGUCAGCUUGGUACGUGUACAAUGUUUGGUUCUAUUACUGCCCGCAACAGAAGCAGCCAACCCUUGAUCAUGGACUGUAGCCAGUCCAUGCACUUCGGGCGGAGCGGGCACUCACACGAGCAAUGCCGGACUAACCUCCGAGCAAGCGGCGGACAGACGUCAACGUCAUCAUGUACGUCUCCUUCCAUGUCCUUGGGGUGCACACGUGACACAAUGGCCGGCACAAUGAGCCGUGAUGCCGCGAGGGGGAGAGAAUCUCAAAAAUCCUGUCUCAUUUCGGAGGGGGGUGCGCAACUUGACCCCAAGAACUCGGAGUUGAUAGAAAGCGCAGCUCCGCAUUGCCGCGGAGACUGGGUUCCCGGCCGAUUCACGCCCCGCCCGUCCUCUCGCGAAAGUCGGUCACCCCAGUAAUCCAGCCCCCAACCCU